AAUAUUUCAGGCUGAAUAAAAUUCUCCACAAACUGGAAGAAAAAAAGUGCAUAAAGAAAUAGUUAAAUGUAAACUGAACUGGAAGGACAAGGCUAAGCUGCUGUUGCCCAACAAUACUGCUGGUACUUUGUAACAUAGUAUAUGUAUUUACCUGGCUAACAGAGUCCUGCAAAACUUUUCUUUUGAAGGACAGUUUACUGAGAGAGACAGAUAAACAGCAAGCAUUUGCUCUUUAAGGGUUGUUCCAACUGUGAACUAUGUCAAAUUCUGAAAUAAGCUGGAUAGUGGCCCUUGUUAUCCUGUUUCCGUAGCACUUAGAGACCUCUGAGACAAGAGAUUUUCUCCCCCUGAAGAUAUUUGUUAUUGCUCUGUGUCUGAAGCCCAAACACCUCCUCUGCAGCUGCACUGUAACAAAAACAAACCAUACAUUCCAGUGGAUCAGUGAUUGCUGCAAGAUGUACAGCAAUGUGAAUCGUAUGAGAAAACUGCUUUCUGGAUGUUAUUUGAACUAGCAGCUGUCCAGAAUCCUCAGCUCACCUCUUACCAAGAAAGAGCAUGUCAGAAUACAAUAAUCAUUUUCAGUUGAAUUGCUUUGUUAAAAUGAAAUAAUUUGAAAUGCUGCCGAAGUCUGCUGUGGAGAAAUUCAAACUGCAAGCCUCAGAUAAUGGGAAACUGCAGUAAAGAUUAGGAGUAGGGUGAGCCCAUACUCCCCACUUUGCUUCUGGUGAUCCUUCUAACAAACAGUGCCCCAGUUUUGUCUGCCACUGGCCUUGUUCUGUUAUCAUGAAUAACUUAACUUAAUUCAAUAAAACGUUGAUGUCCAAAACA
This 828-nucleotide long non-coding RNA is filed under the name Coturnix japonica (Japanese quail). RNAcentral's name for it is "lncRNA (ENSCJPG00005019509.1)". Lineage: Eukaryota; Metazoa; Chordata; Aves; Galliformes; Phasianidae. The record is from RNAcentral.